Molecule: ribosomal RNA, 551 nt
Filed under: uncultured archaeon
Lineage: Archaea
Description: bacterial SSU rRNA
Rfam family: Archaeal small subunit ribosomal RNA
Source: RNAcentral
CGGGGUGCAGCAGGCGCGAAACCUUAGCAAUGUGCGAAAGCACGACUGGGUCAGUCCGAGUGAUUCCUGAUAAAGGAGUCUUUUACUUGUCCUAAAAGCACAGGUGAAUAAGGGGUGGGCAAGUCUGGUGUCAGCCGCCGCGGUAAUACCAGCACCUCGAGUGGUCAGGACGUUUAUUGGGCCUAAAGCAUCCGUAGCCGGCUUUGCAAGUCUUCGGUUAAAUCCACCUGCUCAACAGAUGGGCCGCUGGAGAUACUACAAAGCUAGGGAGUGGGAGAGGCAGACGGUAUUCAGUGGGUAGGGGUAAAAUCCUCUGAUCCAUUGAGGACCACCAGUGGCGAAGGCGGUCUGCCAGAACACGUUCGACGGUGAGGGAUGAAAGCUGGGGGAGCAAACCGGAUUAGAUACCCGGGUAGUCCCAGCUGUAAACGAUGCAAACUCGGUGAUGCAUUGGCUUAUGGCCAAUGCAGUGCCGCAGGGAAGCCGUUAAGUUUGCCGCCUGGGAAGUACGGACGCAAGUCUGAAACUUAAAGGAAUUGGCGGGGGAGCAC